RNAcentral lists this ribosomal RNA (279 nucleotides) under uncultured bacterium. Its description in RNAcentral is "partial 16S ribosomal RNA". It matches the Rfam family "Bacterial small subunit ribosomal RNA", at positions 506 to 784 of the family's 1533-position model. The record is from RNAcentral.
UGCCAGCAGCCGCGGUAAUACGGAGGGAGCGAACGUUGUUCGGAUUCACUGGGCGUAAAGGGCGUGUAGGCGGUUUUGCAAGUCAAGCGUGAAAUACCACGGCUCAACCGUGGAACUGCGCUCGAAACUGCAGAACUUGAGGCUGUGAGAGGAGAUUGGAAUUCCCGGUGUAGCGGUGAAAUGCAUAGAUAUCGGGAAGAACACCAGUGGCGAAGGCGAAUCUCUGGCACAGUUCUGACGCUAAUGCGCGAAAGCUAGGGGAGCGAACGGGAUUAGAUA